Non-coding RNA from Oncorhynchus mykiss (rainbow trout), 5937 nucleotides. The record is from RefSeq and is a predicted model, not a curated record. Lineage: Eukaryota; Metazoa; Chordata; Actinopteri; Salmoniformes; Salmonidae.
AAUUGUGGACAUUUUCUUUGCAAUUGCAUCAAACAUGUGUUUUAGACCUUGUUCAGGGAAAAGUGGUUAUAACUGUAUUUUAUGCUGAAACCUACUGAAAAUGGUCCAAGGUGUUCCUACUAUCUCAAUUGUGGACAUUUUCUUUGCAAUUGCAUCAAACAUGUGUUUUAGACCUUGUUCUGAGAAAAGUGGUUAUAACUGUAUUUUAUGCUGAAAAUUGUCCAAGGUGUUCCUACUAUCUCAAUUGUGGACAUUUUCUUUGCAAUUGAAUCAAACAUGUGUUUUAGACCUUGUUCAGGGAAAAGUGGUUAUAACUGUAUUUUAUGGUUGAAAUUUUGCUUGAAUUUGGUGACAGUGUUUCUUACCAUCCCAACAACGCGUGGACAACAUUUUAUUUGCUAAUUGCAUCAAACAUGUGUUUUAGACCUUGUUCAGGGAAAAGUGGUUAUAACUGUAUUUUAUGCUGAAAAUUGUCCAAGGUGUUCCUACUAUCUCAAUUGUGGACAUUUUCUUUGCAAUUGCAUCAAACAUGUGUUUUAGACCUUGUUCAGGGAAAAGUGGUUAUAACUGUAUUUUAUGCUUGAAACCUACUGAAAAUUGUCCAAGGAUUUCCUAUUAUCUCAAUUGUGGACAUUUUCUUUGCAAUUUGCAUCAAACAUGUGUUUUAGACCUUGUUCAGGGAAAAGUGGUUAUAACUGUAUUUUAUGCUUGAAACCUACUGAAAAUUGUCCAAGGAUUUCCUACUAUCUCAAUUGUGGAUAUUUUCUUUGCAAUUGCAUCAAACAUGUGUUUUAGACCUUGUUCUGAGAAAAGUGGUUAUAACUGUAUUUUAUGCUGAAAAUUGUCCAAGGUGUUCCUACUAUCUCAAUUGUGGACAUUUUCUUUGCAAUUGCAUCAAACAUGUGUUUUAGACCUUGUUCAGGGAAAAGUGGUUAUAACUGUAUUUUAUGGUUGAAAUUUUGCUUGAAUUUGGUGACAGUGUUUCUUACCAUCCCAACAACGCGUGGACAACAUUUUAUUUGCUAAUUGCACCAAACACGUGUGUAUUAGACCUUGUUCAGGGAAAAGUGGUUAUAACAGUAUUUUAUGCUUGAAACCUACUGAAAAUGGUCCAAGGUGUUCCUACUAUCUCAAUUGUGGACAUUUUCUUUGCAAUUGCAUCAAACAUGUGUUUUAGACCUUGUUCAGGGAAAAGUGGUUAUAACUGUAUUUUAUGGUUGAAAUUUUGCUUGAAUUUGGUGACAGUGUUUCUUACCAUCCCAACAACGCGUGGACAACAUUUUAUUUGCUAAUUGCAUCAAACAUGUGUUUUAGACCUUGUUCAGGGAAAAGUGGUUAUAACUGUAUUUUAUGCUGAAAAUUGUCCAAGGUGUUCCUACUAUCUCAAUUGUGGACAUUUUCUUUGCAAUUGCAUCAAACAUGUGUUUUAGACCUUGUUCAGGGAAAAGUGGUUAUAACUGUAUUUUAUGGUUGAAAUUUUGCUUGAAUUUGGUGACAGUGUUUCUUACCAUCCCAACAACGCGUGGACAACAUUUUAUUUGCUAAUUGCAUCAAACAUGUGUUUUAGACCUUGUUCAGGGAAAAGUGGUUAUAACUGUAUUUUAUGCUGAAAAUUGUCCAAGGUGUUCCUACUAUCUCAAUUGUGGACAUUUUCUUUGCAAUUGCAUCAAACAUGUGUUUUAGACCUUGUUCAGGGAAAAGUGGUUAUAACUGUAUUUUAUGGUUGAAAUUUUGCUUGAAUUUGGUGACAGUGUUUCUUACCAUCCCAACAACGCGUGGACAACAUUUUAUUUGCUAAUUGCAUCAAACAUGUGUUUUAGACCUUGUUCAGGGAAAAGUGGUUAUAACUGUAUUUUAUGCUGAAAAUUGUCCAAGGUGUUCCUACUAUCUCAAUUGUGGACAUUUUCUUUGCAAUUGCAUCAAACAUGAGUUUUAGACCUUGUUCAGGGAAAAGUGGUUAUAACAGUAUUUUAUGCUUGAAACCUACUGAAAAUGGUCCAAGGUGUUCCUACUAUCUCCAUUGUGGACAUUUUCUUUGCAAUUGCAUCAAACAUGUGUUUUAGACCUUGUUCAGGGAAAAGUGGUUAUAACUGUACUUUAUGGUUGAAAUUUUGCUUGAAUUUGGUGACAGUGUUUCUUACCAUCCCAACAACGCGUGGACAACAUUUUAUUUGCUAAUUGCAUCAAACAUGUGUUUUAGACCUUGUUCAGGGAAAAGUGGUUAUAACUGUAUUUUAUGCUGAAAAUUGUCCAAGGUGUUCCUACUAUCUCAAUUGUGGACAUUUUCUUUGCAAUUGCAUCAAACAUGUGUUUUAGACCUUGUUCAGGGAAAAGUGGUUAUAACUGUAUUUUAUGGUUGAAAUUUUGCUUGAAUUUGGUGACAGUGUUUCUUACCAUCCCAACAACGCGUGGACAACAUUUUAUUUGCUAAUUGCAUCAAACAUGUGUUUUAGACCUUGUUCAGGGAAAAGUGGUUAUAACUGUAUUUUAUGCUGAAAAUUGUCCAAGGUGUUCCUACUAUCUCAAUUGUGGACAUUUUCUUUGCAAUUGCAUCAAACAUGUGUUUUAGACCUUGUUCAGGGAAAAGUGGUUAUAACUGUAUUUUAUGGUUGAAAUUUUGCUUGAAUUUGGUGACAGUGUUUCUUACCAUCCCAACAACGCGUGGACAACAUUUUAUUUGCUAAUUGCAUCAAACAUGUGUUUUAGACCUUGUUCAGGGAAAAGUGGUUAUAACUGUAUUUUAUGCUGAAAAUUGUCCAAGGUGUUCCUACUAUCUCAAUUGUGGACAUUUUCUUUGCAAUUGCAUCAAACAUGAGUUUUAGACCUUGUUCAGGGAAAAGUGGUUAUAACAGUAUUUUAUGCUUGAAACCUACUGAAAAUGGUCCAAGGUGUUCCUACUAUCUCCAUUGUGGACAUUUUCUUUGCAAUUGCAUCAAACAUGUGUUUUAGACCUUGUUCAGGGAAAAGUGGUUAUAACUGUACUUUAUGGUUGAAAUUUUGCUUGAAUUUGGUGACAGUGUUUCUUACCAUCCCAACAACGCGUGGACAACAUUUUAUUUGCUAAUUGCACCAAACACGUGUGUAUUAGACCUUGUUCAGGGAAAAGUGGUUAUAACAGUAUUUUAUGCUUGAAACCUACUGAAAAUGGUCCAAGGUGUUCCUACUAUCUCAAUUGUGGACAUUUUCUUUGCAAUUGCAUCAAACAUGUUUUAGACCUUGUUCUGAGAAAAGUGGUUAUAACUGUAUUUUAUGCUUGAAACCUACUGAAAAUGGUCCAAGGUGUUCCUACUAUCUCAAUUGUGGACAUUUUCUUUGCAAUUGCAUCAAACAUGAGUUUUAGACCUUGUUCAGGGAAAAGUGGUUAUAACAGUAUUUUAUGCUUGAAACCUACUGAAAAUUGUCCAAGGUGUUCCUACUAUCUCAAUUGUGGACAUUUUCUUUGCAAUUGCAUCAAACAUGUGUUUUAGACCUUGUUCAGGGAAAAGUGGUUAUAACUGUACUUUAUGGUUGAAAUUUUGCUUGAAUUUGGUGACAGUGUUUCUUACCAUCCCAACAACGCGUGGACAACAUUUUAUUUGCUAAUUGCAUCAAACAUGUGUUUUAGACCUUGUUCAGGGAAAAGUGGUUAUAACUGUAUUUUAUGCUGAAAAUUGUCCAAGGUGUUCCUACUAUCUCAAUUGUGGACAUUUUCUUUGCAAUUGCAUCAAACAUGAGUUUUAGACCUUGUUCAGGGAAAAGUGGUUAUAACAGUAUUUUAUGCUUGAAACCUACUGAAAAUGGUCCAAGGUGUUCCUACUAUCUCCAUUGUGGACAUUUUCUUUGCAAUUGCAUCAAACAUGUGUUUUAGACCUUGUUCAGGGAAAAGUGGUUAUAACUGUACUUUAUGGUUGAAAUUUUGCUUGAAUUUGGUGACAGUGUUUCUUACCAUCCCAACAACGCGUGGACAACAUUUUAUUUGCUAAUUGCACCAAACACGUGUGUAUUAGACCUUGUUCAGGGAAAAGUGGUUAUAACAGUAUUUUAUGCUUGAAACCUACUGAAAAUGGUCCAAGGUGUUCCUACUAUCUCAAUUGUGGACAUUUUCUUUGCAAUUGCAUCAAACAUGUUUUAGACCUUGUUCUGAGAAAAGUGGUUAUAACUGUAUUUUAUGCUUGAAACCUACUGAAAAUGGUCCAAGGUGUUCCUACUAUCUCAAUUGUGGACAUUUUCUUUGCAAUUGCAUCAAACAUGAGUUUUAGACCUUGUUCAGGGAAAAGUGGUUAUAACAGUAUUUUAUGCUUGAAACCUACUGAAAAUUGUCCAAGGUGUUCCUACUAUCUCAAUUGUGGACAUUUUCUUUGCAAUUGCAUCAAACAUGUGUUUUAGACCUUGUUCAGGGAAAAGUGGUUAUAACUGUACUUUAUGGUUGAAAUUUUGCUUGAAUUUGGUGACAGUGUUUCUUACCAUCCCAACAACGCGUGGACAACAUUUUAUUUGCUAAUUGCAUCAAACAUGUGUUUUAGACCUUGUUCAGGGAAAAGUGGUUAUAACUGUAUUUUAUGCUGAAAAUUGUCCAAGGUGUUCCUACUAUCUCAAUUGUGGACAUUUUCUUUGCAAUUGCAUCAAACAUGAGUUUUAGACCUUGUUCAGGGAAAAGUGGUUAUAACAGUAUUUUAUGCUUGAAACCUACUGAAAAUGGUCCAAGGUGUUCCUACUAUCUCCAUUGUGGACAUUUUCUUUGCAAUUGCAUCAAACAUGUGUUUUAGACCUUGUUCAGGGAAAAGUGGUUAUAACUGUACUUUAUGGUUGAAAUUUUGCUUGAAUUUGGUGACAGUGUUUCUGAGGAUCCCAACAACAUUUGAUUUGCACAUCAAACAUGUGUUUUAGACCUUGUUCAGGGAAAAGGGGUUCUAACUGUGGUUUAUGGUUGAAACUUGUUGGAAUUUGUUGACAGUGUUUUUGAGCUAUCCGUCUGCCAAUUAAAGCGUAAAAGUAGGGUGAAGCAACAGAACAAUGAACAAUGACCAAAACAGACAGGAGUAAAAUCAACAACUGGCUUCAACAGAAGAUGACCCAGUCCCGACUUCACGACUUUAAGCAGAUUUAAAAUGCUGUGACAUGAACCCGAGAGCGGUUCACACCAGGCAUCCUACGAAUAUUGUUGAACUGAAACAGUUUGGUAAAAGUGUAUGGUGCAAAAUUCCUCCUGACAUUUGAAGGUCUAAUCCGCAACUACAGAAAACAUUCGGUUGAGGUUAAUUGCUGCCAAAGGAGGGUUGACUUAAAUACAAGGGUUCACAUGGUGUGUUCAAUAAGGACAUAACACAUCACAUAAUGACCAAUUUAUGCAGAAAUGCAGGUAAUUCCAAAGGGUUCACAUACUUUUUUUUGCCACUGUAUAUUCCCACACAAAAUAAUUUCUCCACUAACUGUAUAUGCUCAGUGGAUAUAUUUGGAUAAUACUAAAUCCUUCACACCAGCACAUCACUUAGUGAUAAUAAAUAGCCACAAUGAAAAGUUAGACAUUCUUGGUUUUAUUAAAUUACAAUUUUAAUAAAACGAAGUUAAAACAUAGAACAAACAUGCCUGUAGCAAUAAUCUAGACAUAACGUGCAAAUCAGACACUAUUUUGCCAGAUAAGAUACACUUUCAGCAAGUUGCAACAUUGAAAUACAGUUAUAGACACUUUUCCAUAAACAAGCUCUAAAUCAUGUUUGAUGCAGUUAGCAAAUACAAUGUUGUCCACAGUUAAGAUGGUAGUAACACCUUGGACAAUUUUCAGCAGGUUUCAAACCAUAAAAUACAAUUAGUUGAACGUUUCGUUCAAAGUUGAUUUUAAAAUGCCAGGUUUAAACACUUUAAAAAUCCAACAGGUGUGUGUGUGCUUUUCUUUGACAUUGUUGGGAGAAAUUACUGAUUUGAGAGUUGCCUAAUCACACAAAUGAAGUUUUGGAAAGA